CUAGACUGAACUCAACAAUAUAUGCACUCUCAUCAUUGUACAGGGAUAUCUUGUAUAUUUCAAAUUAAAGAUUAUUGAUGGACCUUGUAGAAAUGAAUUGGACUUCAGUAACCUACUUUCCUAUAUUGUUUUCAUUGCCUUAUUCUAAAAUAAUUAUCCUACAGUUAUAAUCAAAGCAAAAUAAAUGAAAUAAAAGGAAACUAGACCAUUUAUCAUACAGAAGGACUCCAGUAUAUUUUGAGUUACAUACACAAUUGGGAUUAAGUGACUUGCCCAGAGUUACACAGCUAAGAAGUGAUAAAAGUAUAUGAGGCUAAAUUUGAAUUCAAAUUCUCUUGAUCUGGUGCUCUAUCUACUGCAUCAUCUAGCUGCUCCAUAACAUUUCAAAUGUCACAUAUUUGGUUUCUCCUGAAAUAUUUUCAGGAUUCCAACUAUUGGCAGCAAUCUAACAUGAUUUAAAAUAAUCCAUUGGAUACUGGAUCAAUAUCCAUGUUGAAUUUCAAUAUCUUGAGUCAUGGUAGUAAGCUUUCAUCACCUCAACUUAAAAUAGGAUUAUCCUAUUAGAGCAAUAUAAAGGAAAGAGAAACAAGUUAAUUAUCUUUAUGCUAUUCUCAAGGAAUGGACCAGAUUUUUAGUAACAAAUGUUAUAAAAGAUAUUGGCUUUUCCUUUACAUUCAAGAUUCUUAUUGACAGCAAUAUAAUUUGAAAUGACACUCUUCAGUGGAUACUGGAUCAAUGUCCACAUAUAAUAGGAUUAAAUUUAACUACCUUUUUCCUUUAUAUUUGCUUUAAAUAGUGCCACAGCUUCUCAGAAACACAAGUCAAAUGGAGUAUAUUAAUCUCCAGACCAUGUUUUCUUCUCAAAGAAUUUAUUAUAUAUCUAGGUUCUUAAAAUUUUAUAACUAUUGGGUCUUCAAUAUUUUUAGCAUUUCAGAUUUUGGCAUCAUUCUAAAAUGAACUGAAUUGUUACAACAUCUUGAAUCUGGGAUGAUUGUGUUGGACUUAAGUAUUUUGGUUCUCAGAAGUUGAAUAUCUUAGCUUGAAAUAAUGCAAUCCUUUUGAUUCAAAAUAACUCAUGCUAAAUUGGAGUAAACCAUACACUUUUACUCUAGUUACAUAAAAAUUUAAGUUGAUAAAGGCUGUAUUUCUUUCUACUGACUGGUCAGCAGGAUUCUAGAAAUUUUCAGCAAUUUAACAUGGAUUGGAACUAUGUAUCUGAUCAGUAUUGUGGCAUAACUGUACUAGAUUUAGGGUUUUUUGGGGUUUUUUUUAGAUAUUUUGGUUCCCAGAAUUAAGUCUUCAUUUCCUUCAUUUGAAACUGAACUAUGCUUCUCAUUCAAAACUACAUAAACCAAAUGGGAACAAACAAAUUGAUUUUUAUAUAGUCAAUUCAAGACAUGUAUGUCUAGUUAUAUAUUUACAUUUCAGUUAUUUUUGGUUUCUUCAAGUAUUCCAGGAUAAUUACAACUGGCAGCAAUUUAACAAGAAUUGUAACUCUUCAUUGGAUAGUGAUUCAAAGUCUUUCUGUAUUGGCAUUGAAUUUUAGCAUCUUGAUUUCUAGUAACAAAAUGUCAUUGUUUUAGUUUCAAACAAGCCAAAUGGCAAUUGUUUAAACUUAUAUUAUUCCCAGGGAAUGUGUGGGGGUGGGGUGGGGAGGGAGGUGGGUGAGGAGUGGCUUCUAAAAAGUUGUGGAUUUCUUUGGCAGGGAUUUCAGGAUUUUAGUUAAUUGAUAGGAAACCAACAUGAAAUGAAAUUCUUCAUUGGAUCAAUGUUUUUGGAUUAGAUUGAAUUGGAUUUAUUUUGGUCCUUUGCAAGUUUUCACUACUCAAUUUAUAGUUCUCUCAGACUUUCCGAACAUACAAGUCAAAUGGAAAACUAGUUCCUAUACCAGGGAAUGUGCCAGAUUUCUCAUUGAAUAUCUAAGUUCUCACAGGUUAUAUAGGAUUUCAGUCUUAGCUUGAAAUACAGCUAUCAUUUUGCAUACAGAACAAAAAAAAUAGGACUAAAGCAAUUGCUCAUGUUCCAAAUAUUAUGUUGCAACACAUACAUGUAUAUAUUCAUGUGUGCACAUGCAUGUCUUUUAAGCACUGGGAAUACUAAGACAGAAGAUAGUCCCAGCUCAAUCUAAAAUGGGAAACAUAUAAAAAGAAGCUGGGGAAGGGUUUCUGAGUUGACUUCACCUCAAGUGUAGGCACAUGGGAAAUUUCAUGCCAUCUUUAAGUAAUGAAAAAUAUGGGAAUUCUCCAAUAUCCAUCACUAUGUAUCUGAUCAGUAUUGUGGCAUAACUCUACUAGAUUUUGGGUUUUUUUAGAUAUUUUGGUUCCAUCAGAAUACAUCCUCAUACAGUAUCGUUAUUGAGAUAUGUAAUGAUCUCCUGGUUCUGCUCAUUUCACUUAGUAUCAGUUCAUGUAAGUCUCGCCAAUCCUCUCUGUAUUCAUCCUGCUGGUUAUUUCUUACAGAACAAUAAUAUUCCAUAACAUUCAUAUACCACAAUUUACUCAACCAUUCUCCAAUUAAUGGGCAUCCAUUCAUUUUCCAGCUUCUAGCCACUACAAACAGGGCUGCCACAAACAUUUUGGCACAUACAAGUCCCUUUCCCUUCUUUAGUAUCUCUUUGAGGUAUAAGCCCAGUAGAAACACUGCUGGAUCAAAGGGUAUGCACAGUUUGAUAACUUUUUGAGCAUAGUGCCAGAUUGCUCUCCAGAAUGGCUGGAUGUGUUCACAAUUCUACCAACAAUGUAUCAGUGUCCCUGUUUUCCCACAUCCCCUCCAACAUUCCGCAUUAUCUUUUCCUGUCACUUUAGCCAAUCUGAUGGGUGUAUAGUGGUAUCUCAGAGUUGUCUUAAUUUGCAUUUCUCUGAUUAAUAAUGAUUUGGAGCAUAUUUUCAUAUGGCUAGAAAUAGUUUCAAUUUUUCAUCUGAGAACUGUCUGUUCAUAUCCUUUGACCAUUUAUCAAUUGGAGAAUGGCUUGAUUUCUUAUAAAUUAGUCAAUUCUCUAUAUAUUUUGGAAACGAGGCCUUUAUCAGAACCUUUGACUGUAAAAAUGUUUUCCCAGUUUAUUGUUUCCCUUCUAAUCUUGUCUGCAUUAGUUUUGUUUGUACAAAAACUUUUCAAUUUGAUAUAAUCAAAAUUUUCUAUUUUGUAGUCAAUAGUGAUCUCUAGUUCUUCUUUGGUCAUAAAUUCCUUCUUCUUCCACACGUCUGAGAGGGAAACUAUCCUAUGCUCUUCCAAUUUAUUUAUAAUCUCAUUCUUUAUGCCUAAAUCAUGAACCCAUUUUGUCCUUAUCUUGGUGUAUGGUGUUAAGUAUGGGUCAAUGCCUAGUUUCUGCCAUACUAAUUUCCAAUUUUCCUAACAAUUUUUGUCAAAUAAUGCAUUCUUAUCCCAAAAACUAGAGUCUUUGGGUUUGUCAAACACUAGAUUAUUAAAGUUAUUGGCUGUUUUGUCCUUUGAACCUAACCUAUUCCAUUGAUCAACUAGUCUAUUUCUUAGCCAAUACCAGAUGGUUUUAGUAACUGCAGCUUUAUAAUAUAAUUUUAGAUCUGGUACAGCUAGGCCACCUUCAUUUGAUUUAUUUUUCACUAAUUCCCUUGAAAUUCUUGACCUUUUGUUUUUCCAUAUGAACUUUGUUGUUAUUUUUUCUAGGUCAUCAAAAUAGUUUUG
This 3660-nucleotide long non-coding RNA is filed under the name Sarcophilus harrisii (Tasmanian devil). RNAcentral's name for it is "lncRNA (ENSSHAG00000022248.1)". The record is from RNAcentral. Lineage: Eukaryota; Metazoa; Chordata; Mammalia; Dasyuromorphia; Dasyuridae.